AUACGGAGGGUGUAAGCGUUAUUCGGAAUCACUGGGCGUAAAGGGUGCGUAGGCGGUUUGAUAAGUCUGAUGUGAAAUCCUAUGGCUCAACCAUAGAACUGCAUUGGAAACUGUCAGACUAGAAUACUGAAGGGGCAGAUGGAAUUAGUGGUGUAGGGGUAAAAUCCGUAGAUAUCACUAGGAAUACCGAAAGCGAAAGCGAUCUGCUGGGAAGUUAUUGACGCUGAGGCACGAAAGCGUGGGGAGCAAACGGGAUUAGAAACCCCAGUAGUCC
Molecule: ribosomal RNA, 274 nt
Filed under: uncultured bacterium
Lineage: Bacteria
Description: partial 16S ribosomal RNA
Rfam family: Bacterial small subunit ribosomal RNA
Source: RNAcentral